This 254-nucleotide ribosomal RNA is filed under the name uncultured bacterium. Its description in RNAcentral is "partial 16S ribosomal RNA". It matches the Rfam family "Bacterial small subunit ribosomal RNA", at positions 524 to 776 of the family's 1533-position model. The record is from RNAcentral.
UACGUAGGGGGGCAAGCGUUGUCCGGAAUUAUUGGGCGUAAAGAGCGUGUAGGCGGUCCGGUAAGUCAGCUGUGAAAGUCAAGGGCUCAACCCUUGAAAGCCGGUUGAUACUGUCGGGCUAGAGUCCGGAAGAGGCGAGUGGAAUUCCCGGUGUAGCGGUGAAAUGCGCAGAUAUCGGGAGGAACACCAAUGGCGAAGGCAGCUCGCUGGGACGGUACUGACGCUGAGACGCGAAAGCGUGGGGAGCAAACAGG